RNAcentral lists this ribosomal RNA (253 nucleotides) under uncultured bacterium. Its description in RNAcentral is "partial 16S ribosomal RNA". It matches the Rfam family "Bacterial small subunit ribosomal RNA", at positions 524 to 776 of the family's 1533-position model. The record is from RNAcentral.
UACAGAGGUGGCAAGCGUUGUUCGGAAUUACUGGGCGUAAAGGGCGCGUAGGCGGUUCGUUAAGUCCUGUGUGAAAUCCCCCGGCUCAACUGGGGAACUGCACAGGAAACUAGCGGGCUUGAGUUCGGGAGAGGGAAGCGGAAUUCCGGGUGUAGCGGUGAAAUGCGUAGAUAUCCGGAGGAACACCGGUGGCGAAGGCGGCUUCCUGGACCGACACUGACGCUGAGGCGCGAAAGUGUGGGGAUCAAACAGG